Molecule: ribosomal RNA, 670 nt
Filed under: Klebsiella pneumoniae
Lineage: Bacteria; Pseudomonadati; Pseudomonadota; Gammaproteobacteria; Enterobacterales; Enterobacteriaceae
Description: partial 23S ribosomal RNA
Rfam family: Bacterial large subunit ribosomal RNA
Source: RNAcentral
UAAACCAUGCACCGAAGCUGCGGCAGCGACACUAUGUGUUGUUGGGUAGGGGAGCGUUCUGUAAGCCUGCGAAGGUGACCUGUGAGGGUUGCUGGAGGUAUCAGAAGUGCGAAUGCUGACAUAAGUAACGAUAAAGCGGGUGAAAAGCCCGCUCGCCGGAAGACCAAGGGUUCCUGUCCAACGUUAAUCGGGGCAGGGUGAGUCGACCCCUAAGGCGAGGCCGAAAGGCGUAGUCGAUGGGAAACAGGUUAAUAUUCCUGUACUUGGUGUUACUGCGAAGGGGGGACGGAGAAGGCUAUGUUAGCCGGGCGACGGUUGUCCCGGUUUAAGCAUGUAGGCUGGUUAUCCAGGCAAAUCCGGAUAAUCAAGGCUGAGGUGUGAUGACGAGGCACUACGGUGCUGAAGUAACAAAUGCCCUGCUUCCAGGAAAAGCCUCUAAGCAUCAGGUAACAUCAAAUCGUACCCCAAACCGACACAGGUGGUCAGGUAGAGAAUACCAAGGCGCUUGAGAGAACUCGGGUGAAGGAACUAGGCAAAAUGGUGCCGUAACUUCGGGAGAAGGCACGCUGGUGUGUAGGUGAAGUCCCUGCGGGUGGAGCUGAGACCAGUCGAAGAUACCAGCUGGCUGCAACUGUUUAUUAAAAACACAGCACUGUGCAAACACGAAAGU